CCUACGGGUGGCUGCAGUGGGGGAUAUUGCACAAUGGGGGAAACCCUGAUGCAGCGACGCCGCGUGAGUGAAGAAGUAUUUCGGUAUGUAAAGCUCUAUCAGCAGGGACGAAAAAAGACGGUACCUGACUAAGAAGCCCCGGCUAACUACGUGCCAGCAGCCGCGGUAAUACGUAGGGGGCAAGCGUUAUCCGGAUUUACUGUGUGUAAAGGGAGCGUAGACGGCAAUACAAGUCGGAAGUGAAAUACCCGGGCUCAACCUGGGAACUGCUUUGGAAACUGUAUGGCUAGAGUGCUGGAGAGGUAAGCGGAAGUCCGAGUGUAGCGGUGAAAUGCGUAGAUAUCAGGAGGAACACCGGCGGCGAAGGCGGCCUGCUGGACUGCGACUGACGUUGAGGCUCGAAAGCGUGGGGAGCGAACAGGAUUAGAUACCCCAGUAGUC
This 441-nucleotide ribosomal RNA is filed under the name uncultured bacterium. RNAcentral's name for it is "partial 16S ribosomal RNA". It matches the Rfam family "Bacterial small subunit ribosomal RNA", at positions 338 to 795 of the family's 1533-position model. The record is from RNAcentral.